UUUCGGAGCUAACGCGUUAAGUAGACCGCCUGGGGAGUACGGUCGCAAGAUUAAAACUCAAAUGAAUUGACGGGGGCCCGCACAAGCGGUGGAGCAUGUGGUUUAAUUCGAUGCAACGCGAAGAACCUUACCUACUCUUGACAUCUACAGGAUCCUGCGGAGACGCGGGAGUGCCUUCGGGAACUGUAAGACAGGUGCUGCAUGGCUGUCGUCAGCUCGUGUCGUGAGAU
RNAcentral lists this ribosomal RNA (230 nucleotides) under Vibrio sp. s4o3. Its description in RNAcentral is "partial 16S ribosomal RNA". It matches the Rfam family "Bacterial small subunit ribosomal RNA", at positions 844 to 1073 of the family's 1533-position model. Lineage: Bacteria; Pseudomonadati; Pseudomonadota; Gammaproteobacteria; Vibrionales; Vibrionaceae. The record is from RNAcentral.